AAACCGGUCUCCGGUUCGGCCGGAAGUUUUCAUACUGCUUGGUGGACAGGUCAGCCUCGUCUAAACCGUCCUCCGUUGUGUUCGGACAGUCCGCCGUUUCGCGAACCGCUGUCUUCACUCCUUUAAUCACAAACCCUAAACUCGACACCUUCUACUACCUCGAACUCACCGGAAUCAGUGUCGGCGGCGCCAGAGUUGCGGGCAUCACCGCCUCUCUCUUCAAGCUAGACACCGCCGGAAACGGCGGGGUCAUCAUCGACUCCGGCACCUCCGUCACCCGCCUCACCCGGCGAGCUUACGUAAGCCUCCGCGACGCCUUCCGGGCCGGAGCAGCGGACUUGAAACGGGCGCCAGACUACUCACUCUUCGAUACCUGCUUUGAUUUGUCGGGGAAGACGGAGGUGAAGGUGCCGACAGUGGUAAUGCACUUCCGCGGAGCUGACGUGUCGCUUCCAGCGACGAACUAUCUGAUUCCCGUCGACACUAACGGCGUCUUCUGCUUCGCCUUCGCCGGAACCAUGAGCGGCCUGUCCAUCAUAGGGAACAUCCAGCAACAAGGGUUCCGGGUUGUCUUCGACGUGGCGGCUUCACGGAUCGGGUUCGCUGCCCGCGGCUGCGCCUGAACCGGGUCAGGCCAUGGAGGGUCAAAUCUCUUUCUUACCCU
RNAcentral lists this long non-coding RNA (664 nucleotides) under Vitis vinifera (wine grape). Its description in RNAcentral is "long non-coding RNA (VVIN_LNC005206)". Lineage: Eukaryota; Viridiplantae; Streptophyta; Magnoliopsida; Vitales; Vitaceae. The record is from RNAcentral.